AGUGAACGCUGGCGGUAGGCCUAACACAUGCAAGUCGAACGGCAGCACAGUAAGAGCUUGCUCUUACGGGUGGCGAGUGGCGGACGGGUGCGGAAUACAUCGGAAUCUACUUUUUCGUGGGGGAUAACGUAGGGAAACUUACGCUAAUACCGCAUACGACCUACGGGUGAAAGCAGGGGAUCUUCGGACCUUGCGCGAUUGAAUGAGCCGAUGUCGGAUUAGCUAGUUGGCGGGGUAAAGGCCCACCAAGGCGACGAUCCGUAGCUGGUCUGAGAGGAUGAUAAGCCACACUGGAACUGAGACACGGUCCAGACUCCUACGGGAGGCAGCAGUGGGGAAUAUUGGACAAUGGGCGCAAGCCUGAUCCAGCCAUACCGCGUGGGUGAAGAAGGCCUUCGGGUUGUAAAGCCCUUUUGUUGGGAAAGAAAAGCAGCAGGUUAAUACCCCGCUGUUCUGACGGUACCCAAAGAAUAAGCACCGGCUAACUUCGUG
This 492-nucleotide ribosomal RNA is filed under the name uncultured bacterium. Its description in RNAcentral is "partial 16S ribosomal RNA". It matches the Rfam family "Bacterial small subunit ribosomal RNA", at positions 29 to 507 of the family's 1533-position model. The record is from RNAcentral.